UGCAUCUUUAGCUCAGUGGAUAGAGCGUUCGGCUCCGGACCGAAAGGCUGCCAGUUCGAUUCUGAUAAGAUGCAUC
RNAcentral lists this transfer RNA (76 nucleotides) under bioreactor metagenome. Its description in RNAcentral is "tRNA-Arg". It matches the Rfam family "tRNA". From Rfam's summary of the family: Transfer RNA (tRNA) molecules are approximately 80 nucleotides in length. Their secondary structure includes four short double-helical elements and three loops (D, anti-codon, and T loops). Further hydrogen bonds mediate the characteristic L-shaped molecular structure. tRNAs have two regions of fundamental functional importance: the anti-codon, which is responsible for specific mRNA codon recognition, and the 3' end, to which the tRNAs corresponding amino acid is attached (by aminoacyl-tRNA synthetases). tRNAs cope with the degeneracy of the genetic code in two manners: having more than one tRNA (with a specific anti-codon) for a particular amino acid; and 'wobble' base-pairing, i.e. permitting non-standard base-pairing at the 3rd anti-codon position. The record is from RNAcentral.